UAAUGGCGAAUGAACAGGGAUGAGCUCAGCAUGGAAAUUGGGGCCUGUGGCCUUGAAUUGUAGUCUCGAGAUGUACAGCCAACGGAGGCGCAGGUGUAAGCCUUUUGGAAAAGAGCAUCAACGAGGGUGAGAAUCCCGUUUGUCAUCUGCAGCCCCCCGUGCACGGUGUACCUUCUAAGAGUCACGUUCCUCGGGAUUGGAGCGCAAAGUGGGUGGUAAAUUUCAUCUUAAGCUAAAUAUAUGUUCGAGACCGAUAGCAAACAAGUACCAUGAGGGAAAGGUGAAAAGGACUUUGAAAAGAGAGUUAAAAGUGCCUGAAAUUGCUGAAAGGGAAGCGGAUGGAACCAGUGCGCUUAGCAAGAUUGUUGCGCGCCAAUGUGAUUGCUCGCUGCUUCAGUGCAAGCGYUGCGGCAAGUUWUGAGCAGGACGCGCGCAGUGCUUCUUGCUUUUCGUGUCAACGUCAGUUCAUGAUCGAGGAAAACUCCAGGGAUAUGGUAGCUUACCUCCRGGUGGGUGAACGUGCCUGGCUGAACUCAUUCGUGUACUGAUAACCGCGUGUCAAGGCAGGUCACCCUGCGGUCAGGGCGUCGCAUUGACACAA
RNAcentral lists this ribosomal RNA (601 nucleotides) under Gloeodinium montanum. RNAcentral's name for it is "LSU rRNA". It matches the Rfam family "Eukaryotic large subunit ribosomal RNA", at positions 84 to 616 of the family's 3401-position model. Lineage: Eukaryota; Dinophyceae; Phytodiniales; Gloeodiniaceae. The record is from RNAcentral.